CAGUAGCCGCGGUAAUACGAAGGGGGCUAGCGUUGCUCGGAAUGACUGGGCGUAAAGGGCGCGUAGGCGGCUCAUACAGUCAGGCGUGAAAGUCCUGGGCUCAACCUUGGAACUGCCUUUGAUACUGUUUGUCUUGAGUCCGGGAGAGGUGAGUGGAACUGCGAGUGUAGAGGUGAAAUUCGUAGAUAUUCGCAAGAACACCAGUGGCGAAGGCGGCUCACUGGCCCGGAACUGACGCUGAGGCGCGAAAGCGUGGGGAGCAAACAGGAUUAGAUACCCGAGUAGUCCCUGUCUCUUAUAC
RNAcentral lists this ribosomal RNA (301 nucleotides) under uncultured bacterium. Its description in RNAcentral is "partial 16S ribosomal RNA". It matches the Rfam family "Bacterial small subunit ribosomal RNA", at positions 509 to 807 of the family's 1533-position model. The record is from RNAcentral.